GUAUAAUUUAGGCAAUGUAACAAGAGACCAAUUACGUCACACAAGACUUCUUUUGGAGACUCAAUUUAAUCUUGAUAUAAGAAAUUCAAAGAUCUAACAUUGCAAGAUUAAAUGAAAGCUGGGCAACGUUUCUCAGGUGGGGGUAUAAAAGCAAGAAAGGCUAUGCUGAUUUCACCUCUUCAAAGAUAAAUUUCAACCAACCUAUGAAAACACAUGUAAACAGUGAAAAGGUUAAUGCGAAAGAAAUCCUUAUGCAACCGAGUGUUGAGGAAUUCUCUUCGCAUAAGACACAUUCCCCGUCCCCCCAUGCUUUAGUCGUAGCAGAGCAGAAAAUAUGUUUGUUAAUCCUCCUUGUUGCUAGCUAGUCUUGCCCGGUGUCUAAGUUCUGCUUUUUUCCACCUGACAAUCAAGUAACAUAGUGAAAAGAGGGUAUUAACCAAGAUUAUUAUCGAAAUAACCAACAGAGGCCCAGACCAGAGUGUGGAAAGAAAAAUGCCAUGUGAAUCAAAGUAAUUCUGGCGCGCAAAACUUUUCCAGUUCACAGCUAAUAUGCGAUUAAGCCUCUCAGCACCAUACACUCCUCCCAAUGCAAAAAGGAACAAAAACAUCUGGAAAUUGAUGUUCUUCCGAGACACGAUACAUACUAGAAGAAACACGGCGUGAAAUGAAAGAAGACCUACCAACCAAGGUUCCGUCCAGUCAAUGGCGUGGAAGAAUCCUAUGAAGUUGUCAUAUGCUGGUCUAAGACUCGACCUCAUCUCUGCAGAGAAUUUCUCAACAAGAUCUGCCAUUUGGUCCAUAUGGGAAUUCAAAGCACUGCUUAAUUCCUCCAUUUUCGCCUCACAAAAUUCUUUACUGCUUUAAGAUCAAGAAAGUGACGCCUCUCU
Molecule: unclassified non-coding RNA, 887 nt
Filed under: Hevea brasiliensis (rubber tree)
Lineage: Eukaryota; Viridiplantae; Streptophyta; Magnoliopsida; Malpighiales; Euphorbiaceae
Source: RNAcentral